This 331-nucleotide long non-coding RNA is filed under the name Bos taurus (domestic cattle). Its description in RNAcentral is "long non-coding RNA NONBTAT025904". The record is from RNAcentral. Lineage: Eukaryota; Metazoa; Chordata; Mammalia; Artiodactyla; Bovidae.
UUGACAUCAGUUUAAUUUUAUUUCAUAAUCAACUAAAUAUUUCAAAUAAAAUAAUUACAUUAAGAAAAAGCCUCCAGUUUUUGUUUUAAUUUCAUGUUUUAUACAUUGCACAUUUACAACAUACUCAUUUUGAUUAUUUCAUAACUUGGUGAGGGAAGAGGUAAUAAUUCUUUCAGAUGGUUAAAUACACCAGAGGAUUUCUGCUCUCAUUUUCGUUAUUUGAGAGAGAUGAAGCAGUUUUUAGUCUCAACAAAUUCUACACAAAAACCAUAUACUUUGCUUACCUCGCAUUCAUGAGAUCAUUUUUCUUCACAGAAAAUCCCAGUGUUCA